AAACUCUUUUCUCUUCAAAUCCUAUAAAUCUUUCGCCUUUUAGUAAAUAUUUCCGUGUAAAGAAGCGUUAUAAGUAUAAGCUAAUUUUUCGAUGUCCUACUUUAUAGUGGGGUU
Molecule: small nuclear RNA, 114 nt
Organism: Electrophorus electricus (electric eel)
Lineage: Eukaryota; Metazoa; Chordata; Actinopteri; Gymnotiformes; Gymnotidae
Gene: U5
Rfam family: U5 spliceosomal RNA
About the family: U5 RNA is a component of both types of known spliceosome. The precise function of this molecule is unknown, though it is known that the 5' loop is required for splice site selection and p220 binding, and that both the 3' stem-loop and the Sm site are important for Sm protein binding and cap methylation.
Source: Ensembl